AGCUGAAGCAGAACAAGGAGCUGGAGCGAGAGGCCUGACCACCUGAUGUCUCUCUCUCUCUCUCACACACACACACACACACACUUCCCUACAAGUUUACAAUGGCUAACUAAAAUAACCUGAGAGAUGUGACUUCCUGCUUCCUGCAUGUCCUCUAAAGGAGUGACCAUCUCGAGUCCUCCGUCUCCUGCCCUUUAACUCUCGCACUUAAAAAUAAUGAAUGAACUUGGAACUCACGUGGGGUUUCGUUGUUCAUGCUAAUGCACGCCGUUAUCAGAGUUCACUAGUUAGCAACAUUCUGGCUAGCAUUGUGAGUUAGCUAAGUGUUUAGCUGCCUUGAACCCCUUCAGACUCCUACUUUUUAUUUCAUUAUCGUUGUUGCAGCUUGUGUACAGUGUGUCAUACAAAACCUCUCUCUCUAUAAUUCUAAUUAUCCAUAUGUAUACACACACACACACACACACAUUAUUUAUAUAUAUAUAUAUAUAUAUAUAUAUAUAUAUAUAUAUAUAUAUAUAUAUAUAUAUUCUGAAGAAUGAAAUCAGUCUUGGAUAUAAAUUUAUUUCUGCUUUGAGGUGUUUCAGCACGUUUUAAAUGACAAUGUUGUUUACCUUCUCAGUGAGUGAAGAUUUUCCCACUCCACUGAUUUUCAGUCUUAGACCUCGUCCCAUCAUCCACUUUCCCUCGCUCGUCUCCUCUUCCCCUCGCUCUUCUCCACUUCCCCUGAUCCACUUCCCCUCACUCGUGUCUUCUUCCCCUCGCUCUUCUCCUCUUUCCCCUCGCUCGUGUCCACUUCCCCUCGCUCGUGUCCCUCUGGACUCUUUACAUCGCUAUGGCAGCUUGAAUGAUGUGCGUUAGAUGAGAAUCGACUCAACAGUUUACCCAGAAGACGUUGCUGCAACCUAUAACUGCUUUUUUUCCCCUCCAAAACGGUAGCCAAAUCCUCAUAAACAGAAGCUUCAAAUUUCAAAACUACUCGCAUCUAAUGUUUGCUAGCGAGUUAGCAUGCUAGCUCCAACAGGGAAAAACAGGAAAUGAGCUUGGCUUUGGUGCCCGUGCUACCGUGGCGUGUUCCUGCUCAUAAAUUUUCUCCAAACGCACACAUAGUGGUAUGUAAACUUCAUACAGGGUGAAAUAUAACGUCUUAAACAUCACUGGAGUGAUGUAACACGAGCGGAGAUGGAAGUGAGCUGUAACACCUGUAACCUGGGGUUUAGGGCUGGGACGAGAGAACGUUGUGAUUAUAUCGUCAUCAAUCUGAAAUAUAGACAUCCUUAAUAUAAAAGUAUAUACAAUGACAAAGUUCUAUUUUUAAUAAAAAUCUGUAGUAAGGUAUUUAAAUAAAAUUUAAAGAUGAGAGAUUCUACUUUGUGAUAAACUACUGAAGAUUCAGAGCGACUCCUCUAAACAAGUCCACCUUCAACUGUAAACAUCUUCUGAACCGAAUAACAGAACCUUCACGCUGACUGGACCAGUAUCGCUUCUUCACCUCAGACCUCCUCCUGGUUUCUGCUGAGUGUGUGUCCACGGCUUUAACUCGCACCUCAACCUCUCCACACACUCGGGAAACAUUCACGCUGUGUUUAUAUUAAUCAGCGAAAUCAUUAAACAAUUAAGAACGAGUGGAAAUCUAAAACUACAAACUGAUUCAGCUGAAAUACAUUUUACUGACCUCGCUCUUUUCUCAUAACGAUGUUCUAACCUUUUAGAAAUGUAUUUGCAGUUUUUAUUUAAGAUAUCAGUGUAUAGAUUCUUUUUAUGUCUGUUCAAGCAGCCCAGAAAACACACAUCAUCAUACGUUUUAUUUUUAUGAUUAUUUUUGAUUGUGCAGUGCCUUGAAGUCUUUAAUGCAGUCUCUCUCUCUCUUACACACACACACAAACACAGAGUAGACUCGUUUAGCUUAAAAUUGUGUUGCAGUUUGUUAUGCAUAUGAAUUUAAUACAUAUUCUCGUGUGUGUUAUACUUCAGCACUGCGUGUGUUAAUAUAAUGCAUUAAUGUGUAUAUAUUGUACAUUAUAAAGAGCUGUUGAGGAUAAAUAUAUAAAUAUAUAAUAUUUAACAGGAAUAUAUUUGCUUGUUAGAUCUGAAAUAUUGUUGUUUUUUUCCGUUCACAGAUACGCAUGAUUAUACUUACAGCUACUGCAUGAGUUCCUUUAAGAGAUAAAGUGGAUAAAAGUGUGCGAAUGUUGCAAAAAGGGUUUAUUUAUGAAUAUCAUCGUCAUCGCUUUGGAUUGUUUUUACUGAAAAUCUCAUUUGAUUGGUGUUCAG
Long non-coding RNA from Ictalurus punctatus (channel catfish), 2271 nucleotides. The record is from Ensembl. Lineage: Eukaryota; Metazoa; Chordata; Actinopteri; Siluriformes; Ictaluridae.